This is a long non-coding RNA of Erinaceus europaeus (western European hedgehog), 453 nucleotides long. RefSeq lists it as uncharacterized. The transcript has 3 exons. NCBI's taxonomy places the organism in Eukaryota, Metazoa, Chordata, Mammalia, Eulipotyphla, Erinaceidae. The record is from RefSeq and is a predicted model, not a curated record.
UCUAAAACUCUGAGCUGGUCAAGUUCAGGUCAACAAGAUUUUCUAGAUUUAUGAGUCAACUUUCUAGAGUUCUGCAUUCCCACCUCUAAGAUGGAAAAAGACAGGGAGAAGGACAGACAGAAAAGGUGAGAUACCACAGCAUGCUCGAAAAUGCGUGAACUUCCUUCUCCUCAGUGCCUUGCAUGGGGAUCUAGGUGAUGCAGGAUAGAGAGGAGAAGUUGAGAGCGGUGGGGUAGAUGGAGAGGGAGACAGAAAGGUAGACAUCCAUGGACAUUCACUGUUCAUGAACUGUCUACCCUUCAACUGGUGAGUGGGAGCUUGAACCCAGGUCAUCUCGCUUGGUAAUAUGAGCAAUCCUAUUCUGAGCACCAACACACGGCCCCCACAUGAGAUUUGGAAUACAAAAGUUAGUUGACCAAAUAAGCUAUUUUAUAAACAGUUGUGUUGUGAUCA